UGGACAGCAGCAGAGGGAGGAGGAGGCAGGACAGACCAGAAGAGAGACAAUGAGGUUCUGAACCUAGAUGUUGGCCAAGGGAGCAGAGGAGGGCAGGUCAGGAGGCCCUCGCCCUGCAAUCACCCUUCCUGGGAGCCUUCACUUCACCUGUGAUCUCAAGACCUCUCCCUACUGCCUGACUCGCGCCGAGCUUAUGGAACAUCUUCCCUUGAGGGUCGCAGUCCAUUCGAUGAGCCCUUGUCACAGGUCCUGCUUCUGUGGGGAGCUCAAGCGCGGACACCCUUGGAACACUCCCCAAGUCUCUUCCUUCCCAUCCAGCACCACUUCCCUAAGUCACAGCUGCACCACCUCUCAUCUGGACUGCUCACAGCAGGUGGAGUCAGGAUCAAAAUAGCCAAAGAAAAAGUAAGAAUCCGUAUACAGGAAACAAAUAUGUGAUGAUGACCGGAGCAGC
This is a long non-coding RNA of Homo sapiens (human), 454 nucleotides long. Ensembl annotates it as long intergenic non-protein coding RNA 1548. Lineage: Eukaryota; Metazoa; Chordata; Mammalia; Primates; Hominidae. The record is from Ensembl.